CCUACGGGAGGCAGCAGUGGGGAAUAUUGGGCAAUGGAGGAAACUCUGACCCAGCGACGCCGCGUGCGGGAUGAAGGCCUUCGGGUUGUAAACCGCUUUCAGCAGGGAAGAAGCGAAAGUGACGGUACCUGCAGAAGAAGCACCGGCUAACUAUGUGCCAGCAGCCGCGGUAAUACAUAGGGUGCAAGCGUUGUCCGGAAUUAUUGGGCGUAAAGAGCUCGUAGGCGGUUCGUCACGUCGGAUGUGAAAAUCUGGGGCUUAACCCCAGACCUGCAUUCGAUACGGGCGAGCUUGAGUAUGGUAGGGGAGUCUGGAAUUCCUGGUGUAGCGGUGGAAUGCGCAGAUAUCAGGAGGAACACCAAUGGCGAAGGCAGGACUCUGGGCCAUUACUGACACUGAGGAGCGAAAGCGUGGGGAGCGAACAGGAUUAGAUACCCUGGUAGUCCACGCCGUAAACGGUGGGCACUAGUUGUGGGGACCUUCCACGGUCUCUGCGACGCAGCUAACGCAUUAAGUGCCCCGCCUGGGGAGUACGAGCGCGAGAAGUUAAACUACGAAAGUUAAAGUUAGUACGGCGUUGAGACGUUGCCGAACGGACGACGACGAGGGGAGGUUAGGAG
Molecule: ribosomal RNA, 620 nt
Filed under: uncultured bacterium
Lineage: Bacteria
Description: bacterial SSU rRNA
Rfam family: Bacterial small subunit ribosomal RNA (bases 1-524)
Source: RNAcentral